GAGUUUGAUUCCUGGCUCAGGAUGAACGCUAGCUACAGGCUUAACACAUGCAAGUCGAGGGGCAGGCAUGUUGGUUGCUUGCAACCAAUGAUGGCGACCGGGCGCACGGGUGAGUAACGCGUAUCCAACCUACCCUUGUCCAUCGGAUAACCCGUCGAAAGGCGGCCUAACACGAUAUGCGGUUCACAGCAGGCAUCUAAGGUGAACGAAAUGUGAAGGAGAAGGAUGGGGAUGCGUCUGAUUAGCUUGUUGGCGGGGUAACGGCCACCAAGGCGACGAUCAGUAGGGGUCUGAGAGGAAGGUCCCCACAUUGGAACUGAGACACGGUCCAAACUCCUACGGGAGGCA
Molecule: ribosomal RNA, 348 nt
Filed under: uncultured bacterium
Lineage: Bacteria
Description: bacterial SSU rRNA
Rfam family: Bacterial small subunit ribosomal RNA
Source: RNAcentral